AUAAGGGGCCUAAAUAUCCUAAAAAUACCCAAUCCUGUCUGAUCUUGAAAGCUAAGUAAGGACAUCCCUGGUUAGUAUUUGAUUGGGAUAUCACCAGUGUAUACCGGGUGCUGCAGGCU
Molecule: ribosomal RNA, 119 nt
Filed under: Anolis carolinensis (green anole)
Lineage: Eukaryota; Metazoa; Chordata; Lepidosauria; Squamata; Anolidae
Source: RNAcentral